CACAGACACCGCAUUACCCUGGGAAUUCAGUUUUGACACCCCUGCUGGAAACAUGCAAAAUGUUUACUUAUCAAAAGCUCCUCCUCUUCCAGGGUCCGUUCAUCAUCGUACUCAUGGACUAACAUCUCCGCUGUGGGGUCAAAAUCAUGAUCUUCCGAAGACAAAGAGCCAACUGCGGAUUGAAAAUGACUGCUUAAUUCAGAAGUUCUCUGACCCACGACUACUGAAUCCUGGCUGGCUCACAACGGGCUCACAAUGAGACUGACACAAUUAAUUGGAAUGGAAUUUCAUGCCAUCCUCUCUGUCCUGGAGAAACUGUAGAAGACUCCAUGUCUCAACUCCACAAUGGGGAACAUGGAUCUCCAUACAUCUGCGGAGCUGCAGAUUAUAAUACCUGGGACUGUGGAACACUUUAAUGGACUGGAUUCAUAACCUUUUUUGCUAAACCUUCCAAUGUGUAUAGUCUGUGUUGUGUACAGAUUUGUACAUGUUUGUCUUAGUCUGGUGUCACAUGUUCUAUGUACAUAGAGACCAUUUGUGUCUGGGGUGCAUGGGGGGCCUUUAAAGAGGGGAGAGAGGUUGGAUAUCUUAUUGUGCAGUGAAAAAAAUAUUUGCCCCCUUCCCAAUUUCCUCUGUUA
Long non-coding RNA from Anguilla anguilla (European eel), 638 nucleotides. RefSeq lists it as uncharacterized. The transcript is spliced from 3 exons. Lineage: Eukaryota; Metazoa; Chordata; Actinopteri; Anguilliformes; Anguillidae. The record is from RefSeq and is a predicted model, not a curated record.